Passer domesticus (house sparrow) is the source of this 7666-nucleotide long non-coding RNA. RefSeq lists it as uncharacterized. The transcript is spliced from 3 exons. The record is from RefSeq and is a predicted model, not a curated record. NCBI's taxonomy places the organism in Eukaryota, Metazoa, Chordata, Aves, Passeriformes, Passeridae.
UGUAAUUUCAAACAGAAUUGAAGAAGAUUUAAAAAAAUCUUCAUCACUUCAGAAUAAACAGAAUUUUAUUUCAGCACCAUUUUAUAUUCUCCUAUGGCAUACAAACUGAUGUCAAAUACGGAGUUUUCAUGGACGCUUUGGUUAAUAUUUGCAUUGUUAUGUGGUGCUAUUAAAUGCAUCAGUGCUUAUUUGAGAAACCACUCAGCUUUAAACUGAAGAUCAAAGGGGUUUAUUUUGUUAAGGACACCUUUGUUUGGGUAGCCACUUUGAUCAAAUAAACCAAUAUUGUUAGAAUUCUCGCUGAAAUUAAAUGAAUGAAGUCGGAAUAACCAUUAACGUAUUCUAACAUUGAAUUUCCUGUUUCGCACAACGUGAAGCCUGCUCCUUUACACUUGACGGACAGAUGCUUUAAAAAGAAGAAGAUCGCAGUAGCGGAGCUGCCAGGGACUAACACAGGUCCAUUACAGAAUGCGGUGUUGGAAGUGGUGCUCCCAGCGUUAUCAGAGCCGACCACAAAUGCCACAUGAAAAGCAGCAAACAUCCGGAGGGUUUCCUGCAAAUCGAGCAGUUUCCCAAGACAAGAGCCUUUUUUAAAAAAACCGUGUAUUUAAAGGCAGCACACUAUGCCUCUUUAGAGAGAUUCGAAACCACUAAAUGAAAGCAGCCGAGCCCGACAGCGCUGCAUAGUACAAGAAAUCUCCCCGAAUGAAGACUUUUUGGGACUUUGCGUUAGGAAACUGAGUUUAUUGCAAAGGCCCUUGUUAGGAAGGAUCCACUAUUGAAUGAAAAAAAUCAAAACCCCAAAAAUGAAAAAAUAUCCCUUUCAGAAACUCUAGCUAUGGAAACACCGUUAAUUACUUUACAGCAAAACAAUAGUCCCCAGCAUCUUCGCCUGCCUCACUUUAAUCUGCAAGCUGCUUUCCAGCAAAUGCACACAGACCCGAGGAAAGCUUGAGGCUCUCAACUGCCCUCAGCAUCCGAAGCGGAGCCGCUUGGCUGGAAUCGCGUCCCGUCGCCGCGGGCUCGGGGACAGGCACUUGGCAGUGGGACAGCAGGGCCGCGCACAGCCAGCUCCCCGCACCCGUGCGCGCCCGCCUGGGGGGGUGUUAAGCAGCGGUGUCCCCGCGUUUUAGGACUGAAGGGAGUCCGGCGGGGGGAGCGGGACGUGCGCGACUCCCAUUCCGAGCUCUCGGAGGACCUGCAGUGCCGGAGAGAGCCUGGACCGUGGCUUCUCCUAGGAAGGGGUUAACUCAUCUCUCCGACGUGGCUGCUUGGGCUUGGCUCUAAGGCGCCUUCCCUGCCCCCGCCUGAAGGCAGACACCAAAGGUACGGGAGCCAGUGGCAAGGGACAUGUUUAACUGACACCAGUGCUCGGUGCUGCUGUAAUACCUCUUCCAGACAGACAAUAUGUGGACCCAAACAAAGUUUGAGUGACUUGAAAUAACAUUAUUUUAUGAGUAAAGCAUAGAAGUGACUCUUCUCUCAAACCGCUGACAGCAUAAUCUAGACCUAAGUCUCAUCACCCUUUAUACGAAUAAAUUUCCAUACUUUAAUAUAAAGACAGAUUAAUGAGGCUAAUGUCUCAGACCUGUUGCACAUUCCUUUGUCAACAGUUUGCUUACAUGAGUUUCCAACUUCAUUCUGACUUCUGUGCCCUUUGGUUUGAGAAUGAGUUGCAUAGACCAUGAAGCAGUAUAGUAACUGAAACUGGCCUACACUUGAAUUUCCAAGAACAGAAGUCCUGUUACUUUAAAUAUUUAAGUAUAUACAAGUCAUUAAACAAAAUUUUAAAAGAAAAGGGGAAAAAAAAGAGUGCUUUGUACAAUGCUGGACCCACUCCAAAAGUUCAGAGAUCUGAUCUGACCUAGGCAAUUUGGCCCAGCCUCUGUAUUUAUGCUGGUUUUAUGUCAGUGGAGCUACUGCUAACUUGUUUUACUCUAAGAUUUAUUCUGACAAGCUAGAUACCAAAGUGAUGGACUAGUCAAGGACAAGUCAUGUAACUGUAGAAUGAAAAAGCUGACCCCAGUUACACUGAAGUGAAAAAAAAGUGCUUCACUGGCAUCACUCAGCUCCUAGAAUACUCUUAAUAAGGCCAGAAGACUGACUAUCAUAGAUAUUCUCUAGAGUAUAUAUAUAAUAUUUAUAUUAUAUUUAUAUUAUAUAUAAUGCUAUUGCAGUCUUGUAAUACAUAUCUAUACAUUGCUUUAUUUAGUAGACAGCAGUGCUUUACAGUAGUUUGAAAGGGUGAAGUUCUUUGUCUUAGCCAGAAUAAAAGUGUUUUAUUAUACAAAUGAGAAAGUAGCUGGGCUUGGAACUGGGCAGUAACUUCUAACAUGCUAACUGCUUAUGGUCAUCGAAGAGAUGAUCAGUGAUUUAGCAUAAGGAAAUAAUCCUAUAUUAGCUGUUUAGCAGUAGUAAGUUAGAAGCACUAAUAAAAAUUCUAAAUUCAAACAUCAAUAUCUUCCCAUUUGUAUUUCUGAUGAAUCAGCGGUGAAAAACAGGUAAGAUCAGGCAGAAAAUAAGAGUGGAUUUAGAUCCUCAGCAACACAAAAGAUGGAUAAAACAUUUUUUCCAAAAUGGACAAUAUGAUACAUUUCUUUUAAAAUAAAUGCAUAAUCCCUGAAAUUAGAGGAAAUGUUAAUGUUAUUUAAAAAUACCUGUUCUAUUACCUGACCAAAAUUCUCUAUAAGCAAAACAUGGGAAUACAAAAUUUGAUAUUGAUUAGCAAAUUAAAAAAACAAAUUGUUUAAGGCUUUAAUUUUUAUAUGGGCCCAGUGGAAAUGUUCUGAAUUUUCAUAAUAUCUUUGCAAAUACUUUCAGUGACUAAGUGUACAACAGAUGACAUUUGACAUUUAUUUAGUUAAAUAAGCACAAAAAGAAAAAGACCUCACCCAUCAGACAGUUGGAAGGUUUGAGAAAUUAGUUUGGUUUAAUUUCUUGAUAGCUGCAGCUGUUUUAUUUUAUGGUAUUUGUUUUCUUUGAGUACUCUUAAUUGAGAAAGUGAUUUUAAAUUUUCAUAUUCAUAAUUUUCUUAUUAGUUUAUUAAUAUUAAUUAAAAUCCUGAUUAGGUUCUCUUUAAAUGCAAUUUAAAGUUGCAGAUUAUAACAAAAAAAAUCUGUACAUCUUCCAAAUCCAAAGCAGCCAACCUGAUCAUGUUUCUAACAAUACCAUAUUCGCAGUAAUUUCACUGACAUGCAUCUGCUUUCUCUACUGGGCACAAUGAAAUCUACAAUUUCUCUGCCUAGAACAAUUAAUAUUCAGCAUUCUGAACACCUUUGCCACUGAGCUGUGAGAGAGAAGGAAACAGCCCCUCAUGGGAUCACGCCUGGCACAAGAAGUAACAACUUAAAAAAGACAGCUAAGCCUCACAAACCUUCAAACUAUGAUGAACAAUGCAGGUGGGUGGGGUUUUUUUUGAUCCAUUGAUCCAGUAAUUAUUUCCUGGGCUUGAGGUGUGCUCAGAAUUACCUAGCUGCAGUUCAGCAGUCACACCUAUUUCACUUGCCUGGCCUACUUGUGUUUGAAGAAAACCCAAGGCUGAAAGUCUCCUUUCCUCUUGCUUUGUCCCCUUAACAUCACCUUUUUAUCUUCACAACAGUCUUUGAAGGGUAUUUACUGAAAGGAUGAGAGAGUGGUUAUCACACAGAACUGAAAACUUAAAAAAAGAAGACCAGGAAUUUCAAUAAACUUUCUCUGUAGCUAGAUCAAGGACUAGAGAUCCUCACUCCUACUGCAAACAACCUGCAAGAUCUAAGACGAUUUCUACCCAGCUAUCUCCAGUUUACCUGUUCCAUUAAGAUAGGAUGCCUGCUUAACUGAGUUCUAGAUUCAAGUUGCAUGAACAUGCAAUUUACCAACCUUGCCUCAAUGACAAAUUUAAUGGCCUUUUCUGUUUUUUAAAAAUUAGUCAAGUCUUGAUUAGGAGACAAUUUCCGAAGGAGUAGAUGGACAGUGUCAACAGACCUCUACCAUUACAGCCUGAAGAGGUUUGAAUUGAAGAAGCAAGGAUUGGACAACUUUAAUUUCUGGAUUUGCAUGUGUAUAAAUACACUUGCUAUGAAAGGACUGCAUAUUCAUGCUUCUUUGAUUCAGACCAGUGUCCUGCAAAAAGUAAAGGUAGUAAGUCACUCAGCACAGGAUGAAAAGAAAAAUGCUUAAGAAAUAUUAACCAUCUGCAGAGGCCAGAGCUGGAACUGAAGCACACCAAAAUUAUCUGACACGAUUGUAAUACCUAGUUUUCCAUAGGCAUCUCUUUGCAGCAGCCUCCUAGUCUUCCCUCCCAGCUGAUGAGAAGUUGCAAGAUUUGUAUUGCAAGCUCUCUGCUACUCCAGGAAAUCCAGAUGACGAGUGCUGACAGUUGCUAGGAACACAUUUUAUGUCAGUACACACAAGUGCUCAAGCACCGUGAGAGUACCAUUUGAAAACAAAAUGUGAGCUAAGGCAACCCAAAACACGAAGGUAGUUGACAACCACUCGGCCACUCACCAGAGGGAGCCCAUUUUCCCCAAAAGCCGGCAUUUGUAGCACAGCCAACCUGCUGGUUCCUCAGAACUGCCCCGUUAAAAACUCUACAGCUGCUGGGAGGAGUGGCUGCCAGCUAAGGGAGGCACACGGACAUACUGUGAACAGGAAAGGACAGAGCGUAAAGGACUUUUGUAGCUGCUUGAUUACUACUUUCUGCAGCACAAAAUGUUCUUUAUUGAAGAAGUUGCUACAUUAGACUUUCAAAUUGAAUGUGGCUGGGAGAAACCAGUUAUGUGUCUACAGCAUAUCACUGACAGAGGUAAACAUUUUAUACUGUCCUAGGUAGGCUUCUUGUUAUGAUGUGUAUUUGUGAUAUAUUACAUUGAAUACUUUAAGCCAGGUUCUUGCAAGAAAACAAUUGCUUUUUCAAUAGAAAAAUAAUUUUUUUUCCAAAGACCCUUCUCACUUUACCUUUCCUCAAGGGGAGAAUCAGCCUUCUAAUAUAUUAGUGUAUCUUAUAAAUUCUUUAAAGUCCAACUGUAAAGCUUUAGUAACAUAAUUUGCUUUUCAACUAAGCACAGAAUUAAGUCUGAGCUCAUAGUCAACACUGGAACAUGUCCUGCUCAGGAAGAACCUGCAGCUCCUUCCAGGGCCAGACUGUGUGCACACAAUGUUUGGAACAGGGCAUGAUACAGAGGUGCCUUGGCAGCUUUCAGAACCUGGCAGAGCUGUAAAAGUGGGGGUUUUUUUGUGUUGCUUGGUGGUUUGGGUUUUUGUUUGGCUUUUGUUGGCUUUUUUUUUAAUCUUUAGCCAGGUAAACACAAGAUCUGUUUAGCAGCAAAACUCCCCUGCUGCCUAUCUAAACAGGAAGGUCUUGCUAGUGAAGACAGUUACAUCAGUAAGCAUGUCCUUCUGGCACUAGAAGAUUAUCUAGUUUCAUACCUUCUGGUAUCUGUCUUUUCCUUUUCUUCAUAUCAUGAGAUAUUAUUAAAUUACUACUUUUGAUUUUGGAGUCUUCUGUGUUCAUAUUUGUUUCCUAAUUACUGAUUAAUGCAUUACCUCAGCACUUUUCAUAGAUACUGUGAGGCAGCAGUCAGUAGAUGCCACAGCACAGACCUGAACUACUGAUAAAUAAAAAUCAAGACCCAUUGAUCAUUUCCUUUGCAUGGAAAGCAUAUUUGCUGGUGGAGUCAGUUUUAAAAUUUCCCUUUCAGAUUUGCAAUAAUGCAGCCACACAUUCUUUGCCACUUUUGCCAUUAUUAUAUUCCUAAUUCAAUAGCAAAAUGCAAACAACAAAAAUUUGGUCUGGGUAAGUAAUUAUACUAUGUAAGUUGCUAAUUAAUAGCUGUACAAUUUUUUAAAAACUAAUUCUCAGAAUCUUCUUUGCAGUCUGUAGCUUCAGAAACAUCUUGAAAUACAGUCAGCUAAUUUUUAUUUAAAGGUGUGAUUACAGAACUCAGGCUGGAUCUAUCAUCUGUUUUUGGAAAGGUUCCACAUUAAUGGGGACUCACUGGUCCAUCAUAGAUACUGAAUCUCAACACAGCACUGGCUAGACAACAGAGCUUCACUUUACAGCAGCACCAAGUUAAUAUGAAGUAGAAACAAGAAGAUAAAAUAAAGAUAUUCACAUACUCAAUUACAUACGGGAAUGAAUAGGGAGUCUGGGAACUCCCUUUGUCAGGUGCACACAGCAUUUUGCCUCAGAAAAGCUCUCAGUGUUACGCACACACAAAAUGGUAAAAUAUUCCACAGGCAAUCUUUACAAUAAAGAACUAUGCUACAGAUCUUUUGGUGGUAUGAUUACUGAUUUUAUGCAUGUCUUUAUAAACAGCGUUUUGCAUCACUGGCUCAACACGAAAAUUCAGAUUUGCUGUUUCAAAAUUUCCUUAGAAGCUACUUGUGCUCCUAAGUGAUUUGUAAGCAUGAAUUAUUAUUCAAAGAGAAAAAUUACUCAAACCCAUUUUUCCUCUGCUAGUGAUUUUCAAUAAAACAGAAAUUCAAGAAAUCUGUAUUUGAAAAUUGGUAGAUUGUGAUACAGGUUCAGAUGCUCUCUGAAACAGAAGCAGAAGAUAUCUUGCACAGCCUUUGCAAAAAUACUUUCCCGGCUUACUACAGGUGUACUUUCACAUGUUGAAUUGAUUGGAUUAAAAUCAUAGUGACCAGAAGAGGUAUGGGAUAUGUACUUUUUCUGACAGUACUGUAAUAAAAAACUAACAGGGUUUAAAAUAUAGUAUUAUAAGUAGUGAAUGUUUACAUUGCUGCAAUGACACAGUUUACAAAAACUUCAAAUGUAAUACUGAAGUAUACAGAUGUCCAAGAUGUAUCCUUAAUUAGGAUUAAAACAAACUUUUUGUUAUAAAGACAAGGACACAGAUUACUGGUUAUUGGCUGCUUUCACAAAUGAGAUUAUUGCCCAUCUUUACCCAAACAACAAGAGUUUAUAGGUUCACAUGUAUUUACUGUGAUUUCAUGCACAGAAUAGCCAUGCAUUAGAGUAAUUAAUUAUUUUUAUAGCUGUAGGUCAGAAUCUAUCCAAAAAUACUGAAAUAAGAGGUGAGUAGAAAUAUGUAUUUCUAUGACAAAAUUUGAUAAAAAUACUGUGAAAAAAAGACUUUUCCAUCUCUGCAAAUGUCAGUGAUAUAACUUAGUCACUAAUUAAUUUAAUAUAUUUUAAUAAAAAGAAUUUAAAUAAUAAUGUGGAUUAAAUACAGUACUUGGCACCAAAAGUAAUUUGGACAUUCCACUGGGAAGAUCACAAAGUGUUCAAGGUUGCAUUUUAAAUUUCCAGCCAGAAUCAAUAUAUGUAUCCUUGUUGUUUUACAAGUGUAAUACAUUCACUAGGAAAAAAAUUUCUUUCAAUAACUAAUUAUUAUCCACUACUCUGGUAAAAGUAAUUAAAAAAUUGAUAACUAGCUUGAAUCUUUAAAGAAGGGUUAGAUAUUAAGUUAACAGUAUUAAGAUGAUUCUCCAGAAAGUAACAAAUCAAAAUCAAUUCUAUAAAUUUCACAACAAACUAUUAAAAACCCAAAGUUCUUGAUUUCAAGUAUUUAAGUCCUUUUUUCUGGUAAACCUAAGAGGAGGAGCUCUGGCCACACCUCAGUUCCAUGGAAUAACUGCAAGUGUAACUGAAAAAUUAUCCAGGAAGGAAGAAGCUGAUUUCUACCAUUUCAGAAGAUUUUCAAGGGUCUAUGACUGAGCAGAC